This is a small nucleolar RNA of Capsicum annuum, 112 nucleotides long. Lineage: Eukaryota; Viridiplantae; Streptophyta; Magnoliopsida; Solanales; Solanaceae. The record is from RefSeq and is a predicted model, not a curated record.
ACUUCAUGAUUUGGGUAUUGAGCAAUUUUACAGUUAAACCUCUCCCAAUCUUCAAAUAACAGUUCUCCAUUUAUUUGCCAAAAAUUUACAAUCUCAUCCCACUUUUGAAGAU